This 377-nucleotide ribosomal RNA is filed under the name uncultured bacterium. Its description in RNAcentral is "bacterial SSU rRNA". It matches the Rfam family "Bacterial small subunit ribosomal RNA", at positions 521 to 896 of the family's 1533-position model. The record is from RNAcentral.
UAAUACAGAGGGUGCAAGCGUUAAUCGGAGUUACUGGGCGUAAAGGGCGCGUAGGCGGUUGAAUAAGUUGGAUGUGAAAUCCCUGGGCUUAACCUAGGAACUGCAUUCAAAACUAUUUGACUAGAGUACUGUAGAGGGUAGUGGAAUUUCCGGUGUAGCGGUGAAAUGCGUAGAGAUCGGAAGGAACACCAGUGGCGAAGGCGGCUACCUGGACAGAUACUGACGCUGAGGCGCGAGAGCGUGGGGAGCAAACAGGAUUAGAUACCCUGGUAGUCCACGCUGUAAACGAUGAAGACUAGAUGUUGGCAGGCCUAGACCUGUUAGUAUCGAAGCUAACGCGAUAAGUCUUCCGCCUGGGGAGUACGGUCGCAAGAUUA